CGACCCUCCGCUAAAAACGUGGAACCGGCAGCUUAAACAUGAUCCUGAGGUACCAGUGAUCAAGUCCCAUUCUUCUUCCCGGAUCUGCCUUAUUCAUACUGACGUCCUACCUCUGGAUGGAGUUUUUUUCAAUUUGAGACCAUCCCGUGCAUCUAAAGAUGGUUCCACAUGAACAGUCUAAAGAUCCAUGAGGUCCAGAAGGAACUCCAUCUCCUCCAAGAUAAAAUUGGAUCCUGUACUAUCUUCUAUAUGAGGAUCUAAAAAUGCAAGAAUUGCCUUAUGCACUCCACGAAGCCUCCUUCAGCUCCAUGUUUCCAAUCCUUCUCCAUACUCUUCUCGUUUUAUAUCCACCUCAUACAUGCUUCCAUUUCUGUGUAACUAGCCGGUUUUGCUAGUUGCUAGUUACAUUGCAAAAUUGCUUUAGCAGUUUAACAGCUGUGUUAGCAUGUUAAUAUUUUAUCAUGCUUAAAAUUGAGCACUUUCAGAAUUAGCUGUUUCAUUUCAACUGCUUCUUGGAGACUUCUGCAAAAAAAUAAAAUCCAUCAUUUUGUCCACACUGGACACUCCUCU
Molecule: long non-coding RNA, 570 nt
Organism: Silurus meridionalis
Lineage: Eukaryota; Metazoa; Chordata; Actinopteri; Siluriformes; Siluridae
Exons: 3
Source: RefSeq, a predicted model, not a curated record